CGUAAGCAACCUGCCUCAAAGACCGGGACAACAUUCCGAAAGGGGGUGCUAAUACCGGAUGUGGCCGUGCGGGGACAUCCCUGUGCGAUUAAAUCCAACUAGCAAUAGUUGGGCUUUGAGAGGGGCUUGCGGCCUAUCAGCUAGUUGGUGGGGUAACGGCCUACCAAGGCGACGAUCGGUAGCUGGUCUGAGAGGACGAUCAGCCACACUGGGAUUGAGAACGGCCCAG
RNAcentral lists this ribosomal RNA (229 nucleotides) under uncultured bacterium. RNAcentral's name for it is "partial 16S ribosomal RNA". It matches the Rfam family "Bacterial small subunit ribosomal RNA", at positions 116 to 334 of the family's 1533-position model. The record is from RNAcentral.